GGAUCCAGACUUUGAUUAUGCUCAGGACGAACGCUGGCGGCGCGCCUAACACAUGCAAGUCGAGCGGGAAGCUUUUUAAGGAUUCUUCGGAUGAAUUAAAAAGUGGAGAGCGGCGGACGGGUGAGUAACGCGUGAGAAACCUGCCCUAUACAGGGGGAUAGCCAUUGGAAACGAUGAUUAAUACCCCAUAUGACCACAGUAUCGCAUGAUACAGCGGUGAAAACUCCGGUGGUAUAGGAUGGUCUCGCGUCUGAUUAGCUAGUUGGUGGGGUAACGGCCUACCAAGGCGACGAUCAGUAGCCGGCCUGAGAGGGUGACCGGCCACACUGGAACUGAGACACGGUCCAGACUCCUACGGGAGGCAGCAGUGGGGAAUAUUGCACAAUGGGCGAAAGCCUGAUGCAGCGACGCCGCGUGAACGAUGAAGGCUUUCGAGUCGUAAAGUUCUGUUCUUGGGGAAGAUAACGACGGUACCCAAGGAGAAAGCACCGGCUAAAUACGUGCCAGCAGCCGCGGUAAU
This 520-nucleotide ribosomal RNA is filed under the name uncultured bacterium. Its description in RNAcentral is "bacterial SSU rRNA". It matches the Rfam family "Bacterial small subunit ribosomal RNA", at positions 1 to 524 of the family's 1533-position model. The record is from RNAcentral.